CCUACGGGAGGCAGCAGUGAGGAAUAUUGGUCAAUGGACGAGAGUCUGAACCAGCCAAGUAGCGUGAAGGAUGACUGCCCUAUGGGUUGUAAACUUCUUUUAUAAAGGAAUAAAACGAGGCACGUGUGCCUUUUUGCAUGUACUUUAUGAAUAAGGAUCGGCUAACUCCGUGCCAGCAGCCGCGGUAAUACGGAGGAUCCGAGCGUUAUCCGGAUUUCUUGGGUUUAAGGGGAGCGUAGAUGGGUUGUUAAGUCAGUUGUGAAAGUUUGCGGCUCAACCGUAAAAUUGCAAUUGAUACUGGCAGUCUUGAGUACAGUUGAGGUAGGCGGAAUUCGUGGUGUAGCGGUGAAAUGCUUAGAUAUCACGAAGAACCCCGAUUGCGAAGGCAGCUUACUAAACUGUGACUGACAUUGAUGCUCGAAAGUGUGGGUAUCAAACAGGAUUAGAUACCCCUGUAGUC
Molecule: ribosomal RNA, 460 nt
Filed under: uncultured bacterium
Lineage: Bacteria
Description: partial 16S ribosomal RNA
Rfam family: Bacterial small subunit ribosomal RNA
Source: RNAcentral